CUGUAGGCUAAGGGGUGCCACGACAUUUCGUGGCUGAGAAUAGACCCUCUGACCUGAUCCGGGCAAUGCCGGCGUAGGGAUAAGGACAUGAAAAGUG
This 97-nucleotide non-coding RNA is filed under the name Prevotella sp. RNAcentral describes it as "TPP sequence". It matches the Rfam family "TPP riboswitch aptamer (THI element)". Rfam says of the family: Vitamin B(1) in its active form thiamin pyrophosphate (TPP) is an essential coenzyme that is synthesised by coupling of pyrimidine and thiazole moieties in bacteria. The previously detected thiamin-regulatory element, thi box was extended, resulting in a new, highly conserved RNA secondary structure, the THI element, which is widely distributed in eubacteria and also occurs in some archaea. RNAcentral also lists the same sequence under 1 other name. The record is from RNAcentral. Lineage: Bacteria; Pseudomonadati; Bacteroidota; Bacteroidia; Bacteroidales; Prevotellaceae.